This is a long non-coding RNA of Anguilla rostrata (American eel), 1193 nucleotides long. RefSeq lists it as uncharacterized. The record is from RefSeq and is a predicted model, not a curated record. Lineage: Eukaryota; Metazoa; Chordata; Actinopteri; Anguilliformes; Anguillidae. The transcript has 2 exons.
CCCCCCACCUACUAGUUUGACAAAAAAAAUGAAGCUUUCAUUUUUCAGUUGAUUUUACUGCAGGAAUGGAAAAACUCCUGCAUCAGCAGGAUCACAGCAUUAUUUCAGGUUGAUGAUAAAAUAUCUUCCUGCCUGGCUGACAUCUCUACCUGGAUGGCCACCCACCACCUGAAGCUCAACCUCAACAAAAAUGAGCUGCUGUUCUUCCCAUACAAGACCUCCCUACUACAUGAGCUGUCAAUCACGGUUGAUGGCACCACAGUACAGCCUCACACUGCAAAGAGCCUGGGGGUGGUCCUGGACGACCAGCUGUACCUCAAGGAGCACAUCAAGGCACCAUCACGGUCCUGCAGAUUCCUUUUGUACAACAUCAAAAGGAUUCGACCAUACCUGACUACUCACUCCACCCAGCUGCUUGUCCAAGCUAUGGUGACCUCCCGCCUUGAUUACUGCAACUCUCUCCUGGCAAGCCUGCCAGCUUGUACUAUACAGCCACUACAGAUGAUUCAAAAUGCUGCUGGCCGACUUAUUUUCAACCAUCCCGAAUUCUCCCACGUCACUCCUCUGCUGCGGUCACUCCACUGGCUACCAGAUGCUGCCAGGAUCAGGUUCAAAUUCCUGACCCUCGCCUACACUGCAGCCAACAGGACGGCCCCUAUCUACUUGCAGGACAUGAUUUGAUUCUAUGCGCCUGCUCGACCACUGAGCUCUGCAGCAGCAAGGGCGCCUUGCACCCCCUCCCACCCGAGUAAAGGGAUCAUAGAGCUUCUCCACCCUGACUCCCCAGUGGUAGAACGAACUCCCUGUCCCUCUUCAAACCUCUCCCUCACUACCUAUGUUCUACCAUGGUCUUCAGACUAUACCUAGACAAACUGCCACCACUCUGUGAAUUUUACUUUAAAUCCCCCCUUUCAUGACACUCAUGUUACAUGUACCCCCAUUCCAGAACUUUUUGUAAUUUGUAUCUGUCCUAAUAUUGUAGCUUGUUCUUCUCCCUAGUUUGGCUUGGCAUAAGUUAGGUCAGAAUAGUAUUCACUGUUGAACUGAACUGUGUUCCUGGCUAGAAAUAGCUGUACGAAAUGAGUAUCGUACCAUUGAACCUGUGUUUUGUAGUUGUCCAAUGACCAUGAUAUGCACUUUUGUACGUUGCUUUGGAUAAAAGUGUCUGCUAAAUAAAUGUAACAUAAUUGAAA